This 253-nucleotide ribosomal RNA is filed under the name uncultured bacterium. Its description in RNAcentral is "partial 16S ribosomal RNA". It matches the Rfam family "Bacterial small subunit ribosomal RNA", at positions 524 to 776 of the family's 1533-position model. The record is from RNAcentral.
UACGUAGGGCGCAAGCGUUAUCCGGAAUUAUUGGGCGUAAAGAGCUCGUAGGCGGUUUGUCGCGUCUGCCGUGAAAGUCCGGGGCUCAACUCCGGAUCUGCGGUGGGUACGGGCAGACUAGAGUGAUGUAGGGGAGACUGGAAUUCCUGGUGUAGCGGUGAAAUGCGCAGAUAUCAGGAGGAACACCGGUGGCGAAGGCGGUUCUCUGGGCCUUACCUGACGCUGAGAAGCGAAAGCAUGGGGAGCGAACAGG